This 677-nucleotide ribosomal RNA is filed under the name Inocybe praetervisa. RNAcentral's name for it is "eukaryotic LSU rRNA". It matches the Rfam family "Eukaryotic large subunit ribosomal RNA", at positions 1 to 653 of the family's 3401-position model. The record is from RNAcentral. Lineage: Eukaryota; Fungi; Basidiomycota; Agaricomycetes; Agaricales; Inocybaceae.
UUGACCUCAAAUCAGGUAGGACUACCCGCUGAACUUAAGCAUAUCAAUAAGCGGAGGAAAAGAAACUAACAAGGAUUCCCCUAGUAACUGCGAGUGAAGCGGGAAAAGCUCAAAUUUGAAAUCUGAUGGUUUUUGACCGUCCGAGUUGUAAUCUAGAGAAGUGUUUACCCGUGCUGGACUGUGUACAAGUCUCCUGGAAUGGGGCAUCGUAGAGGGUGAGAAUCCCGUCUUUGACACGGACUGCCAGUGCACUAUGGGUGUGCUCUCGAAGAGUCGAGUUGUUUGGGAAUGCAGCUCAAAAUGGGUGGUAAAUGCCAUCUAAAGCUAAAUAUUGGCGAGAGACCGAUAGCGAACAAGUACCGUGAGGGAAAGAUGAAAAGAACUUUGGAAAGAGAGUUAAACAGUACGUGAAAUUGCUGAAAGGGAAACGCUUGAAGUCAGUCGCGUUGGCCAGAAAUCAGCCUUGCUUUUGCUUGGUGUAUUUUCUUGUCUUUACGGGUCAGCAUCAAUCUUGACCAUUGGAUAAGGUCUGUGGGAAUGUGGCAUCUUUGGAUGUGUUAUAGCCCAUGGUCGCAUACGGUGGUUGGGAUUGAGGAACUCAGCACGCCCGCGAGGGACGGGUUUCGACCACGUUUUCGUGCUUAGGAUGCUGGCAUAAUGGCUUUAAUCGACCCGUC